RNAcentral lists this unclassified non-coding RNA (254 nucleotides) under plant metagenome. Its description in RNAcentral is "partial contains small subunit ribosomal RNA, internal transcribed spacer 1, and 5.8S ribosomal RNA". The record is from RNAcentral.
UUUCCGUAGGUGAACCUGCGGAAGGAUCAUUAACGAGUUGGGGUCGUCUAGGCCGGACCUCCCAACCCUAUGUUUAUUGAACCUCUGUUGCUGCGGCGGACCCGUCUCAUGACCGCCGGAGGACCGACGAAAGGCGUCCUCUGGCCAGCGUCCGCCGAUGGCCAACCACUUAAAACUCUGAAUGAAUCGUGUCAUAUGUCUAAGUCUAUGAUUAAAUUAAAGAAAAACUCUCAACAACGGAUCUCUUGGUUCUG